This 387-nucleotide unclassified non-coding RNA is filed under the name uncultured bacterium. RNAcentral describes it as "contains 16S-23S intergenic spacer region". The record is from RNAcentral.
UCCUGGUUUCCCAGGCAGUCCAAUCAGAGUGCUUUACUAAAAGUAAAUAGCAACUGAUCGCAAGGGUUGCGCUCGUUAGAGGACUUAACCAAACAUCUCACGACACGAGCUGACGGCAGCCAUGCAACACCUGUGCACCUGUCCAGACCGAAGCCUGGAAAACUAUAUUUCUAUAGCGAUCAAGCACAUGUCAAGCCCAGGUAAGAUUCCUCGCGUAGUGUCGAAUUAAACCACAUGUUCCACCGCUUGUUCGGACCCCCGUCAAUUCCUUUAAGUUUUAAUCUUGCGACCGUAAUCCCCAGGCGAAUCACUUAACGCGUUAGCUACGACACCAAUCCAGCAGAGCCGGACUGACGUCUAGUGAUCAUCGUUUACAGCGUGGACUAC